AUUGAACGCUGGCGGCAGGCCUAACACAUGCAAGUCGAGCGAGCGGCGGACGGGUGAGUAAUGUCUGGGAAACUGCCUGAGGGAGGGGGAUAACUACUGGAAACGGUAUCUAAUACCGCAUACCAUCAGAUGUGCCCAGGUGGGAUUAGCUAGUAGGUGGGGUAACGGCUCACCUAGGCGACGAUCCCUAGCGGGUCUGAGAGGAUGACCAGACACACGGGAACUGAGACACGGUCCAGACUCCGACGGGAGGCAGCAGUGGGGAAGAUGGCACAAUGGGCGCAAGCCUGAUGCAGCCAUGCCGCGUGUGUGAAGAAGGCCUUCGGGUUGUAAAGCACUUUCAGCGGGGAGGCGUUACCCGCAGAAGAAGCACCGGCUAACUCCGUGCCAGCAGCCGCGUUAUUC
This 405-nucleotide ribosomal RNA is filed under the name uncultured bacterium. RNAcentral describes it as "partial 16S ribosomal RNA". It matches the Rfam family "Bacterial small subunit ribosomal RNA", at positions 29 to 525 of the family's 1533-position model. The record is from RNAcentral.